GCCGAGGUGUUGGAAUUGGUAGACAAGCAGUGUUCAGGGCACUGUGUCCUUUUGGGCGUGCGAGUUCGAACCUCGCCCUCGGCACCA
This 87-nucleotide transfer RNA is filed under the name Chloroflexota bacterium. RNAcentral's name for it is "tRNA-Leu". RNAcentral also lists the same sequence under 1 other name. The record is from RNAcentral. Lineage: Bacteria; Bacillati; Chloroflexota.